Leptopilina heterotoma is the source of this 782-nucleotide long non-coding RNA. RefSeq lists it as uncharacterized. The record is from RefSeq and is a predicted model, not a curated record. Lineage: Eukaryota; Metazoa; Arthropoda; Insecta; Hymenoptera; Figitidae. The transcript is spliced from 5 exons.
CUCAACUCACUCGGCGUUAAACUUUCAAGACUUUUCUGCUCUGCGCGAACAUUUCCUAGCGCCAUAUUAAGCUGAGUCCAGAACUAUAAGGCCAACACAUCGUAAUUUUUAUAUCAGGAAAAACUUAAUUGAUGCCCUGGGUCGAAUAACUCGCCUGACACUCGGAGGCACGCGCUGAUACCAGUCGGAUAACAGUGAGUGGCCCGCGUCACGCUCCGAGCUAAGGGCCGUUCGGGCAGAAACUCACCGGAGUAUUUGACAUUUGCUUCAAAGAAAACAGGGGUUUAUAUAGUGGUUAAGAGUCUACUUGAUUGGGGAUGAGACGAUCAAAAAGCACGUAAUCAAGGAUUUCAAGAAAUUAUGGUUGGAAGCUAUUGGGGAUAAUAUCAAGAAAGGAAGAGGCAAGCGAACUAAAAAAUGUUUAUUUAUUUGUAAUCAACAUUUUACUGUAGAUUGUCUAAGACUUGGAAGUAGAGAAAUACUAAAGGAUGGAAGCAUAAAUUUUAUAUCAUGAUCACGGGUAUCCUUAAAAUCAGGUGUCUCGAUGAUACCAGAGGAAAGAAGAGGUGUUCUAGUUGUAGAUGAGAUGCAGAUAAGCCAAGGGCUUAAUUUUGAAACCGAAAACUUAUGUGUUAUAGGUUUUACGGACUUAGGCGAUUAUACACCAGAGCUCCAAAAAAACGUGCUCACCAUGCUCUCGUGCAAUUAUUCCAACCAUUUCGUGGUAAAUAGGUACAAAACAUAGCAGCAUUUCUGCAAUGAUUGGAUCUGUAGCGAUUUUU